Molecule: ribosomal RNA, 414 nt
Filed under: uncultured bacterium
Lineage: Bacteria
Description: bacterial SSU rRNA
Rfam family: Bacterial small subunit ribosomal RNA
Source: RNAcentral
GUAACACGUAUCCAACCUUCCCAUAACUCAGGGAUAGCCUUUCGAAAGAAAGAUUAAUACCUGAUAGUACUUUUUCAAGGCAUCUUGAGAAAGUUAAAGAUUUAUUGGCUAUGGAGUGGGGAUGCGUUCCAUUAGAUAGUUGGUGAGGUAACGGCUCACCAAGUCUUCGAUGGAUAGGGGUUCUGAGAGGAAGGUCCCCCACAUUGGUACUGAGACACGGACCAAACUCCUACGGGAGGCAGCAGUGAGGAAUAUUGGUCAAUGGGCGAGAGCCUGAACCAGCCAAGUAGCGUGAAGGAUAGAAGGUCCUAUGGAUUGUAAACUUUCUUUUAUAGUAGAAUAAAGUGAUCCACGUGUGGAUUUUUUGUAUGUAUACUAUGAAUAAGGAUCGGCUAACUCCGUGCCAGCCGCUGC